UUUAAUUGAAUCAUUCGAUUAGGUAUUUGAAAUUUGAACAGAAGUACAGACUACAGACUAUAAAUUCGUCCAAUGUUGUAUUCAUACAUUUUAGUAAUAAAUUUCCAUAUAUAAGUAUAUUCUUUUUGGUAAAACAUCCAAAGUAUAGCCUUGCCACAUUAUCUUUUUCAUUCAAUGGUUGGCAUGACCUAUGAAUAGAUAUAUAUUGAAGAUGUUGCUGAUAGGCUGUUAAAAGAAUCGGGGUGUCCUACGUACAUACAUUCAACCACAGCUUACUUCUCAACAAGGAAAGACAAACUUCUAAGCGAAUACCAAUCACCUUCAGUAGCACUCAGAAUCAUGUUUGUGAAUAAAAUUAUUUGUCAAACACUUAUUUAUAAUUAUAAGAAAACUUUAUUUUUAAAUUUUAUAAUUAAAGAGAAAAGUACCGUUGAUUGGGAUUACUUUGCUCCGAUUUUUCAAAUUUAUAGUGAAUAGAAAUAGUAGUAGAAGCUUGAAACUAGUUUAUUCUAAUUUAUAAUCAAAUUGAAUGUAACCGGGAAUGUAACUAUUAAAUUCAUCUUUGAAUGAUUAUUCAGAGAUCACUUUGGAAUAAAUGCCAAACGUAUAAAUGUAAAUUACCUAAAUUAAGAGUAAUUAAAAAACAUUUUGUGAAAGGAACAAGAUUACUGCUAAUAUUUAAGUCUUAAUAUUAUUAACAAAUAAAUACAAAUAAUAGAUAUUUGUAUAGCUUUUUACUAUAUAUUAACAUUUAGUGUAAAUAGUUUCUGAUUGACUUAUAUGUAAAAAUAUUCUAUAAAAUAAUUAUUCAUAUAAAAAUAUCCUAACAAUUUAAUGCAAGGAUUUUCAUAAAUUACAGCAUCCUUAAGACACAAAAAAUACAUUUGUACAUUAUUUAUGCACUACACCUACCAAAUUAAAAUUUUACAAAAUUUUAGUUCACUAUUAUGGUGUAGGUACUUAUAGUACUAACACACACAAUAAAUUGUUAUUUGAAAACUGUUAUUUAUUGAAAAUUGUUAUUUCGUAUACCUAUUAUUAUUUACUAAAUACCUACAACAAAACUAAAAAUAUGAUUACAUACUGAGUGCCUAUAAUAAAUAUGUGAUAUAUUUAUAUAAAUAUAUGAAAAUUGAAUUUUUAUUACGAAUACUUAUCAUUUACACAGACCACAAGAAAAAAUAAUUAAAAAAAUUAAAGGACACAUCAUUGUAUAAUGAAUACAGUCAUCAAUCCUCUUAGAAUUUAAAAUCUAAAAUAUAACCGAUACAUUUAAAAUUAACAUAUUAAAUCAUUAUUAUUAAUUUCGUACUCAUCAGUAUUCGGAGAAAAUGAUAGACUUGGAAUUUUACAAAUCUAGUUGGUAUCGUAGUCGGUACUGAUGUACUGUAAAUUUGAUGUAUUUACUAUACCUUUAUGUUAACUCUAAAA
Molecule: long non-coding RNA, 1431 nt
Organism: Metopolophium dirhodum (rose-grain aphid)
Lineage: Eukaryota; Metazoa; Arthropoda; Insecta; Hemiptera; Aphididae
Exons: 3
Source: RefSeq, a predicted model, not a curated record